GACGAACGCUGGCGGCGUGCUUAACACAUGCAAGUCGAACGGAAAGGCCCUGCUUUUGUGGGGUGCUCGAGUGGCGAGCGGGUGAGUAACACGCGAGUAACCUGCCCUUGACUUUGGGGUAACUUCAGGAAACAGGGGCUAAUACAGGAUAGGAGCUCCUGCUGCAUGGUGGGGGUUGGAAAUUUUCGGCGGUUUGGGCUGGACUCGCGGCAUAUCAGCUUGUUGGUGGGGUAGUGGCGUACCAAGGCUUUGACGGGUCGCCGGCCUGCGAGGGUGACCGGCCACAGUGGGACUGAGGGACGGCCCAGACUGCAACGGGAGGCAGCAGUGGGAAAUAGUGCGCAAUGGGCGGAAGCCGGAUGCAGCGACGCCGCGUGCGGGAUGACGGCCUUCGGGGUGUAAACCGCUUUCGCCUGUGACGAAGCGUGAGUGACGGUAAUGGGUAAGAAAGCACCGGCUAACUACGUG
This 468-nucleotide ribosomal RNA is filed under the name uncultured bacterium. RNAcentral describes it as "partial 16S ribosomal RNA". It matches the Rfam family "Bacterial small subunit ribosomal RNA", at positions 28 to 507 of the family's 1533-position model. The record is from RNAcentral.